Gadus morhua (Atlantic cod) is the source of this 3806-nucleotide long non-coding RNA. RefSeq lists it as uncharacterized. The transcript has 7 exons. Lineage: Eukaryota; Metazoa; Chordata; Actinopteri; Gadiformes; Gadidae. The record is from RefSeq and is a predicted model, not a curated record.
ACCACUUCAAAGCAUUACAUUCUGCCAAUGUUUUGGAUGUAUGGUUACUUGACCCAGGUUAUGGAAACCUUUGAUAGAGUAUGGAUUAAUUUCAGUGAGGUUGAAUGUAAGUUUUUAAUCCAUGUAUGGUGACUUGACCAAGUUAUGGAUGCCUUGAAUAGAAAUGUUACUGUUAUCAAACAAACUGUAUACAAAACGUUUGAUUUAUGUUUCUCAUCAAAACAUAUAUAAAUCAUGUAGAACUCUUACAGCUUUGAGGGAUGUUACAUCUAUAAGUUUCAGUCAUUUUAAGAAGUAAGAAAUAAGUUAUGUUUUGUCUGGAACACUAUGAACGCGUCAUCAACCACGUGGUGAAGAAGAACGUUGCCAUUUUGUGUUGAAUGCGUGUGGACCUGGGGAGAUAUCUUUCAAGGUAAUUAAAUCUUACCAAAUAUGUCACUGUUAGAGUCAGUCACUCUAAAAUACUCAUGACUCAUUCACGAAUUUAGGGAAUAAAGCAUGUUUUUCUAUCGUGUGAAAGCGUAGUUGACUUUCCUUAGAACUAUGCAGUUAAUUGGUGUAAUUCGCUGGGGGGAGGGGGAGUUACUAACUGCAUGCUUAAGCAACUCAAAAUGUUGGCGCAUUUUUUGGGAUAUAUUCACUAUACCACGGUGGGGAAAGUCGUUGGUAAUGUCUUUAUUUGUUAUGCUGCUAUGCCCGGUAAAACGUAAAAACGUGUGAGUAUAUUAAUUGGGCCAGUGAGAAUUUUGAUGGUCCUGUCUGUAGCCGAGGGCUCUGUAGGCGUCACGUACACGCGGCAAUGGCAGCUAGCGUUUAGCAUUAGGCUAAUAUUAGCAUCGCUGGGUAGCAAAGGCAUUCAUAGUUUAAGCGGUUUGGUCUUUACCAGCUAUACCUAGCCUUCCCCAGUCAUUGUAACGGACUGGGUAUUAUGUAAUGUUGUGUUAUGUGUUUUCCUCUGUUAAAAUAGUUUGUUUAUUUCCAUUUCACGGGGUUGAGUUGUUGGGAUUCCAGAGAGUUGGUGGAUAUGUCAUAGGCUGUAGGGUCGUGAUUGGCUGAGAACCAGGAAACGUUAUCGUUGUUCUGGGGAGAGAGCUAGGCUAAAGUGCGAUGCUAAUAUUGGCCUAAUGCUAAACGCUAGCUCCUAUUGCCGAGUUUUCGUGACGCCUACGGAGCCCUCGGCUAUAGACAGACCGUCGCCGUUCUCACUGACCCAACAGUUUAUUCGAUGUAGUUGCUUUUGCGUUGGCUACAGCCCACAGUAGCCUGUGUAUUAAUUGGGAAAUAAAUCGCCAGAAAACCCCAGUUCCGUCUCGUGGCAUUUUUACAGAGGGACGCUACAAUUUUUUUCUGUAGGUAUAGGUAAUUGGUGUUGAGACAGUUGGGUUGAGACGGGCUUCUGCUUCAAGCAUUGUUCCUAAGGCUCUGUAGAAAUUUGAUAUGGCAGUGUAAGGGGUGUUCCGUUGCAGUAGCUACAUCACCAUCAUUACAUGAUUCUUCAGCUGAUUGCCAGGAUGAGGAGUUUGUGGAAGAGGAAGUUUCUGUUGCACCCCUAGAUAAAUGCAGAAUUUAAGCGCAUUACCACCAUGCCCCUGCAAUCCAGAUUUCUGACACAGCUGGAUGUAAGAUCUGACAAACUUCUAAAGCUGUUCGAAAAACGAGGAGGACAGAUAGGCAAGCGUCUUGAGAGAACUUUGGCCCCCAUGACUCAAGAAGAUUACGUUGAUGCAGGGCGGGAAUGUGUUCUCAAGUGGCUGUGUGUACCUCAACGAAGACCCAGCAAAUCUUGUCAGGGAGUUCGUGGCAGAAGACGAAGCCGCCAUCAAAGAAUCGAUUGAGGACACCACGGUGGGAAUAUUUGUCGUGAAAAAUGAUGCAACCAGUGGUCCAGAGGACGUGGGGAUUGUCCUGGAAGGCCUGCAGAUAAUGCAAGGACUGGACAACACUGCAUUAGCUGCUGCCAUAUUGUUUGGCCUAAUGUAUGUAUUGAACCUCAACUACCCUCCUGAGCUAAAGAACAUGUUUGAAGUGCGCCAAAAAGUUGUGAUGGAGCUGGACGGCACCACGCUCUCAAAGAAAGCCCAAGUUCUCAAAAACAGACUGAGUGAGCUGUUGUCCUAACCCUGCUCAUUGACUUGAUUCUGGACUGUACACAUGCAACUUUGCGGUUCUUUGUUCUUGUUCUUGCAGUAUUUACAUACAGCAUGUCUACUGUAUUAUCAAAUGAAUGUUUUCUCUGGAGCUCAUGCGUUCCCAAAAUGUGACUCGGAUUUGCUGUUUUCUCUUAAAGUAAUAGAGCUGCUGAAUGAGCAGUUGCCAUGGACUAUGUUUGCUCUGUGAAUGCACUUGUCUUUUGACAUGCACUCAUGCAGCUUUAGUUUUUCCUUCAUUCUUUUGGCAGUACUUAGAUUCUUGGAAGAAUUACAUUUUUCGUAGUAUUAAUGAUGUUUGUCUAGGUCUACUCAUUGUUUGUUGUGCGGUGAUUCAUUCAAAACACUGGCAGUACUUUUUUAUUUUAUUAUUUUAUUAGAAUUUUAUGCAAAGUAAAAAAAAACAUAAUGCAACCUAACAUGUUUUGGGAUUUCAGUGUUAAAAAUGUCUAGUGUUUUCCAAAAAUGUCCAAACUAUUGCUAUUUGAAGGUGGAGUCAGCGAUUAAGGGGAAUUCUUGUUGUCAAAAUCAGUGAAUAUCUCAUGAUGCACUACCUGUCCGUACUUAUGUGCUAUAAAUCUUUUGUUAGUGCUCAGCCUCUGUAAACCAAGGACCUAUGGACAUGCAAUUUGUAGGCAGGACAAGCAUUCUCCAGAGUCAGCUCUAAGUUUUACAUGCCUAACACUGGCUGUGCUAUUUUAUUUUAUUUCAUUUUAAUCGACCAAAGUAAUGGGAUUUCAGUGUUAAAUGUUGUAUUGGGAUUUCAAGCUUUGGGAUUUCAGUGUUAAAUGUAGUAUUUGAAAGAAAUACAAUAGAAAGUUGGUUAUUUGUGCCUUAUUUAGUCUCAUACUUACUUGAGCAGUAAGUAUGAGACUAAACAUUUAGUCAUACUUUUUCAACUUUUUUUUUACAUGUUUUGAAAGAUGAAUCACAUUAUUUUCUGUCCAUAUACUGUUAUAUUACAUCAAAUAUAAAUUAUUUUACAACCUUUUUCCAUUAAAAACCAGCUAAGAACAGCAAAUUUCUGUCCAUUUAAUCAGUAUUAUUCGUAAUACAACAUUUAUUUACCAUAUUUCUAGGUAAUUUCAUCGUUUUAAAAUGUGAAUGUUUCUAAUUAAACAUUAAAAACAACAUGAAAAUAAGGCAAAAUCUUGUUAAAAUUACAACUUUAAACUGUUUUAAAAUGUGAAUGUUUCUAAUUAAACAUUAAAAACAACAUGAAAAUAAGGCAAAAUCUUGUUAAAAUUACAACUUUAAACUGUUUUAAAAUGUGAAUGUUUCUAAUUAAACAUUAAAAACAACAUGAAAAUAAGGCAAAAUCUUGUUAAAAUUACAACUUUAAACUGUAUUUUAAUUAUGGAAAUUAACCGUAUUUUUACGAGAAAGAAAUUAUCUGUUAUUUCACAGUAUUUUUCUGGCACCCCAGCUGCCAGAAUAUUACCGUUUUUUUACGUUGUUUUUUUUUACAGUGUGUCCACGGGAAUACUGGUCCAAUGAGGGACACUCAUUGACCAUUGAGUUUGACCUGUCCUAUCAUGAGCCAAUGGGAAUAGCCUUGACGGUGGUGUCCCUGAUCGGGGCUGUUCUGUCUCUGUCCACUGUGUCCACCUUCCUCUAUCACAGAGAGACUCCUGUCAUAAAGUUCAGUAACUUUGACCU